Molecule: ribosomal RNA, 425 nt
Filed under: uncultured bacterium
Lineage: Bacteria
Description: partial 16S ribosomal RNA
Rfam family: Bacterial small subunit ribosomal RNA
Source: RNAcentral
GUGGGGAAUAUUGGACAAUGGGCGAAAGCCUGACGCAGCCAUGCCGCGUGAAUGAUGAAGGUCUUAGGAUUGUAAAAUUCUUUCACCGGGGACGAUAAUGACGGUACCCGGAGAAGAGGCUCCGGCUAACUUCGUGCCAGCAGCCGCGGUAAUACGAAGGGGGCUAGCGUUGCUCGGAAUUACUGGGCGUAAAGGGCGCGUAGGCGGACAGCUUAGUCAGAGGUGAAAGCCCAGGGCUCAACCUUGGAAUUGCCUUUGAUACUGGCUGUCUUGAGUACGGGAGAGGUGAGUGGAACUCCGAGUGUAGAGGUGAAAUUCGUAGAUAUUCGGAAGAACACCAGUGGCGAAGGCGACUCACUGGCCCGUUACUGACGCUGAGGCGCGAAAGCGUGGGGAGCAAACAGGAUUAGAAACCCGAGUAGUCC